AAAAGUAAAAACCAAAGGCACAAGACAUUCUUCAUACCUCACUCUUCCUAUCCCAGUCUACUGCACCAUUAUAAAAAAAAAAUCCCUAAGGCCUCUUUUUCUCUUGCCUUGCAGCUUCUGAGGAGAAAGUGUGUGUGUGUGUGUGUGUGUGUGUGUGUGUGUGUGUGUGUGUGUGUUGGUGGUGGGGGGAGGGGGCAGUUUCACCGCUGUCGGGCGCCCUUCCUGCCUGACCCUCAACUCGUGGGGUACAGGCGCUGUUACCAACUCCAGGAUCCGGCCUUUUCAGUCCAGGGAAAACUCCCAAGGCCCCAGGGGGCCAAGAGGCCUGCAAGUCGCCUCUCGCUCUGUAGGCUCCGGGCCCUGCUCCCUCUGAGGUCCCCGGUUCGCCCACCUCCGAAGGCAGCCGUCGCGGACACGGUGGGCGCCUGGCUCCGUCCCCGCGCCCCUAGCGCCCCACGUCUUCCACGCCCCCAACUGUCCUCCCUUCUCUGGCGGCCCGAGUCCCGGCUGGUGUCGGAGGGCCGGCAGUCCGGCGGCGGGUCCCAGGUUCAGCCUCCCGGCCUCCCUUCCUUCCCGCCUCCGCCUUUCCUCGGCGAGGGUGCGGGGCCCGGCUCGAGGCGCUCCUCUUGGGGUCCUCGGCAGAGCGCGGCCGCCCCAGCCGGAGGAGGGGGCCUCGGAGGCGGGGUGCCAGCCCCGGCUGGGCGGGAGGGGUGCGCACUGCGGCGGAGGGGCCGUGACUCACCGCCUGUAACCCAACACCCGCCCUGCUCCCCUCCCCCAGCCUCUCCUCCGUCUCCGGCCUGGCGGCCGCGGCGACACCUAAAACAAAAUGAAGGGGCACCCGGGCCCGUGGCGCCCCCGGCCGGAUCGCCAGCGAGCCCCGGCGGCCUCUGGUUCGGAGCGCUCCCGCUUCCCCCGCCCUGGGGCUCGGCGAGCCGCCGCCGCCGCCGCCCGGGCGCCAGUAGGCGGGGAGGCCGAGCGGCCGGAGCAGGAGACGGCGGUGGCGGCGGGCCCGCGGUAGCUGCGGCGGGCGAGCCUGGGGAGGGGGCGCCCGGGCUUGGAAGCCUCCGGUCCGGGUCCCGGCCGAGCGAGGACAAAGCCCCCUGGCCGCCGCUGCGGCCUACCCCGCGCGGCACAAAGGGCGAGUCGCGACACGCACCCAUCCCCCUCCCAGCUCGGGUGGCCCCGGGCCCCGGGUGGCGGCGGGGAGGUGGGGAAGCCCCGGCCACGCCGCCCCUCGCUCCCCUCCCCCGGGGGCCGACCGAGCGCGCCGCCCCCGCCCCCGCCCCGUCUGCGCGUCCUCCCGGGGAGGGGUCGGGGGGCGCGGCGCCCCACAUAACACUCCCCCGCCUGCGCUCGGAGCCACCCCUCUCCCCUCCCUCCUGCAAACACCGCCGCCUCCCCUGCCACCGCCGCCACCUCGCCCGACGCUCCGCAGCUCGCAGCGGCCGGGGGGCGGUGCGCGGACCGUGCGCGCCGGGGGCGCCAGAUGUGCAGUCUCCGCCGCCGCCAGUGACCGAGCCGCAGCCCGAGCGGGACCGGGCCACCUCCCCGAUGCUGCGGGGGCGACCUUGA
This is a long non-coding RNA of Ursus thibetanus thibetanus, 1575 nucleotides long. The record is from Ensembl. NCBI's taxonomy places the organism in Eukaryota, Metazoa, Chordata, Mammalia, Carnivora, Ursidae.